CAAAGGAAAGGUAAGGGAACCAAUUAGAAGGUGAGUUAAUGACUAAUCAAAUUAAAAGGUUAAGGGACUAAUUAGAAGAGGAGAGUGAAAUCUCCCCUUCAACUCGUGCAUACCAUGAACCCAGUUUCAAUCCGGCCAAUCUCCACCAUUUUUUAGUUGAAAUUCACACAUCCAUCACUUGCAACCUACUCCACCACCCCCCCUCUACCAUCUCCUCCCAAUUUGAGGUUUUACUCUACCGGAGCAUCGGAGGUGCUCAACGACAAUUCCUCCAUUCCGACGAGUUCCACCACUCUUAAUCAACUCCCCUUAGACCUAGAAACUAAACCCAACCAGGGUUAAAGGAGUUGGAACAUCGGAUAAGUCGAAUCAAUGAACACCCAUUAUAGCGUUUCCAGCGGGUUCGUGGCGAUUUAAGGCUUUUCCCAGUGAAAUUGGGUUUGGCCACAGGUAUAGUACUUGCUCUACUCACUGAGAUCUUCAUUUCUGUGAAGUUGGAGAAUUUUUAAAAAUGGUUGGUUUUUCCAGCAAGUUGGGGUGGCUGACCGCCGUGUACGGCGGCGCGUGGGCCGAGGCAUCACUUGAUCUCCCUAGGCUAAAUUUUAUUCUCCAAUUCAGUAUGUGAAGUCUGAUUGAUGAAUUUCCGUCGUUUGAACCUAGUUCCAUUAAGGUCUACCACUUGAUUAUUAUAGCAAUUGACAAUCCGAUCGUUGGAUCGUCACCAAACUUUAAUAUUUUAUAGUACGUAAUAUAUGAGGAUCAUAGGAACUUACGGAUCGGAAAUCCGAAGUACAUAUCUUCCUGAAUUGGAUUUGUUAGUGCAUAAAAUAAAAUGUUAAUUGCCACUUGAAUUUGUAAUUGGCGGAGAUCCAACCGUUGAAUCGUAAUUAAACUUUAAUAUGAUGUUUUAGAAACAUAUUGUGGAUCUUUGGAAGUUACAGAUUGGAAAUAUGUUAUGCAGAUCUUCCGGAUUGAGUUACAUAGGGUUGUAGACCAUACCGUCGAUAUUUGACCGAUGGUUGACUUUUGGUCAAUGGGUCUCAAAUCACUCUAGAACGUCCUUGGAGAUGUGUUUUAUGUUAUUUACGUGUUAUAUCGAUAAGAAUUCUAAGACGUGACUGAAUAUUUGUUUUAGGCGACGAUCGUUCGUGACACCUUGAUAUUCGUGCUAGGGAGUUGUAUCGUGGACCUCAGGUUCUAGUAACAGAGUUUUCGUACCAACUAGGAUUAUUGGCAAAUCUUGGUGUAGAUGAUUACUAUCGAUGGUAUAAUUCUCACCCUAUUUUACUGUACUGUACUUAUGCUCUGUCAUCACAUGUGAAUUGGGUUCAUUCUCGCUCACAACACACUUUUAGGCACUUUUAGGAUUAAAUUUAGGGAACUUUAACGAAAAACCAUAUUUUUACACUAAAAAGUAAAUCCUGGUUCUAUUCACUUUACCCUUUAUUUUGUCCUUAUCAUUAAAACUCAAAAUUUUCAAGCCUUUUUCAUUAGUUUUCCUUUAAAUUUAUUCACAUUUUCCACAUCACUACACUUUAUAGUUUCGUUACCUUCCAGGUGUCGGCCAGCAGAGCUCGAUUCAGAGUCUUAAUGGACAUACCAGGUCGGGGUGUGUCAAUUUGGUAUCAGAGUAUAAGUUGGGCAGUAUUGCGUUCAUCACACACGUGAUGUAAGCAUUCUCGGUUCUUGAACCUAAUGUUCGAAUCUUGCCACCUCGUUGAAUACGAAAAAUGUGUUAGCUUUUCCUAAGUUUUAGGCAGUUUUGUUGACUUGUCUACAUUUUAGAAGAUCACUUUGGCGAACGCUUUUAGACGUAGAGUGAAGAACUUCCCAGCUAAGGAAAUGUGUAGAUUUGAGACAAGUUGAUGGCCCUAAAGCAGGGCUAAUGUAUCAAUAAUGGUGUAUCACCAGGGAUCUAUAAAUCAAUCCCAUCAUUAUUUCAUGCCAUCUUUAUCAACAUUUUCGAGAUAGGAAACCAGAACUGAUUUUGAUUCCUUGGUAGUAACCGUUAGCAUACCAUUUAUUAGGAUUCCUACGAAGUUUACUUCUUCAGGAUUCUAAAAUUGUCUUGAGCGACAACCUGGUGCUAAAGUGGUAGCACUCAAUGAAAGACACAUCUGGGGGACAGUUACUUUUGGUCCUCGAUAACACUAAUCUUCUUAAAUGCACUAGUUAUCAUCUCGGAUCUUCAGGGAAAAGAUCGACUUCAGUUUAAGCCUUUCUAAAGUAGAUUAUUAGAAAAUUUCUGUUUCCGACUUUGGGACAUUCUAACCAAUACUAGUUUCGGAAUUUCUUUUGGUGAUGUAAUCGUCAUUUCGAUGGGUAUAGGCAUCGAAAUACGAGUUGUUAUACCUAUGAUUAGUAUAAAAUCUCUGAAGUAGUGAGUAUUUCCCCUAGAAUUAUGGAACCACCUCUCAGGACCAGAUCCUUAUUAGUCGUCCAAAACCACUUACCUGAGCGGGCUCUAGUAUGUAAUCAGCUAUGGUGGCGCUACUAAUUGACCAUAUUGUCCAAUAUUCAGGAACUGUCAACCAGUAUUCAAACGGUAUGAUUUCUCAUACCGGACAGAGGUGCUAGUAUCUGGGAAUGAUACCUUUAUACCAGAAUGUCGGUUCACAAUUUCAAAGUAACGAACAGUAUUAAAAUAUCAUAAAUUUGUUAAUUAGCGCACGACUAAUAGACUGAUUAACAGUGACUGCUGGUGCCGAAAAAACUAAAUCUCGAAAAGUUAGGAGCAAGCUUUGUAUUAGGAAAGUAAACUCAUAGUUGUUUUCACCUUAUCACCUAUCUAGGUAAACAUAACCUCUCCGACUGGCCACCUUUUCGGUCACUUUCACAGGUAGAUAGUAGAAUCAAAGUACGGGUUAAUUUCUCACUGUUAGCAUGAAUGGAGUAUCGAGGAAGCUAUGAAGAUCUAUUAGCACGUGGCAAAGUGAAAGGAAAAGUGAAAGGAAGUAGUAUGGUACGUUUCGAGGACGUACAUUUAGGCGUCAUAUUCCAAAAUCUCACCAGGGAUACCAUCAAAUGGUGAAAAAGUACACCAUUAAUCCACUUUCUCGUAGUAUAUCAAUUUUCCUUUUGACUUUUCGAACAAGUCAUACUUCAUUGAGAUAACUUAGUUACGAAAACUUACCAAUUAGGAAUUUAUCCAAUCAACCCCUUAUCUAGGAAUCCUCAAACCUAUCUACGAAGGCGAAAGACCGAAUUGAUGGUCUCUUUGACCAACUUCUUGAGCCUGAGUUUUCUUUCGUAACAUGUUGAAUUCAUAGUAGUCUUACCGAUGACUUUCUCAUCCACUUCAGUAAUGAGACCAAAUUCUCUAAAUAGCGACAGUCAGCUUUAUACAAAAUUUCUCAAACGUUAGUUUUGUUUAGAUUUUCACUUUUCUUGGGAGACGUGAUUUCCGCAGACGAUAUUCUUUUCUUUUUCCAAAAAGGUUGUAGCGGAAGAAAGUUGACAUUCUCACGAAGUGUUGUGAAGUUCGAGAUAUCUUUGAUCUUGUUGAUUUAUUGACAAUUUGUUAACGAUUUUUUCGGCUAUAGUGUUCUUCCUCACUUUUUGACAGAGGAAAGUUGGUUUAGUUUAGGAUGUGGGAUAUGAAUAAAAUUUCUGACAACAAAAGUGUUGUCUCACCUUACCUUUGCUUUACACUUUUCGAUGAUGUUUUCUUCGGAUAUUUUGGCUGUGUAGAUGCAGCAUGACGGGGUAACACUUAUGUUUCCCAACGGUUGGAACCGUAUGAAGUGAACCUCCUUAUUCAUGACCUAGAGUCAAUUGUCAUCAUCUUCAUUUGGAAAAUCGGAUGACAUUUCUCUAAGGAGAAGCGUGUCAAAAAUCUUUACUAACCUCAGACUUCUCAAUUACAUCCUCAUAUGUGAUGAACUAAAUUUCUGACAGCAGCGAUGGAAGAACCAAAUCAACGCCUACGAUUGCACUAUCGUGUAUUACCCCGGUGGUGCAAACGUAGUUACUGAGCACCUUUAGCUUGUCAUAUCCCACCUUAAUUGGAAUUCACAAGUAUUGUUUUGACGUUACUCAUGAGAUAUCAAUAAAUUGUUUAGAUGGUUAUCACAAGUAUUGUUUUAACGUUACUCAUGAGAUAUUAAUAAAUUGUUUGGAUGGUUAAAACCACUUCCUAUAUCUGUAUAAGGAUGGGAAAUAUCACCAUAAGAUUCCAAUACGAGGUAUCUUGUACAUGUGGAGUUAUGAUGAUGUUUCAGUGACCAUUGACCGACGUGACAAGUUAGCUCAUUUUCCUUUGGUCCAGAUGGACUAUGUUUAGACCACUUGGUAAAAUUCCUCAUUCUUGAAAUUAUCAUAUUUUUCUGGCAUUUAGACCAGCACCUAUUCUAACUGUAAUUCCAUAUUUACCCCUCUGUGCUGGAAGACAUUCCAGUCAACCUUGGGUAUGUGUCUAUCCUACUACACUUCAUAUUAUUCUUGAAACAGAGAAACCAUUUAAAGGAAUUGCUCGGAUAUUGAAAUGUAGUUGUGAUCAAUAAUUCUUCAAUCACCUAACAAAUACUCUAUUAAACGAAUUUUUACCGUUGGUGAUUGAAUAUUUCUGAAGCUACCGUUGUAGCGAGAUGUCAUACAUUAAUUUCAAUUACCUUGUAUUUGAAAUGUGUUGGACUUAUUUAACUCUCAAACUAUAGACAUUAUUUUUCGCUAUAUUCAAGAGGAAAUUAAUAUGAAGCUGCUCGCUAAGGCGUUGUGGACUACAUUAUUCGACUACAUGGUAUGUUUGUCACUUUUGUAUCUCACAAUGCAUGUUUCACUUCUAAGCAUUGGGAAGUCUUCUUGAAUGCUAUGGGUACGGAGUUGUUACCUGGUACUACACAUACCUUAGUGUACUUGUUGCUUUGUAUGUUUUACAGUUUUAGUGAAUUAUGAUAGACACUUAGCUUUGUUAGAGUCGUGUGUAACUGCAGUUAGACUUUCAGUUUUGGGUAUGUCACCACUUGAGACGUGAUACAGAAAUUCUAUGCAUAAUACUUGAUUGAAAGAUGAAUAUUGCGAAUAGGUAUUUAAAUAAUUGAGAUUGCAAUUUAGGAAAAUUGUGUGCUAUUUACGUUGUGACCGAGAAGGUAGCUUGUGAGCGCAGUCGAGGUGCUAAUUAGACGAUGUAGGUGUAUUUCCCAAGGAGGGGCAAGUUGGUAAUAUUACAUCCUCAGGAAUUAUUUACUUGCUUAUCGUGGCAACGGUGAGUUAUUGAAAUUGCGGGCUACAGACUGUAAUGUUUAUAACUUAUUUGUUGGAUUCGUUAAGCAAGUGGAUAGAUAGGUCCGUUUACGUUAGUAUAAUUAUUUAUUUAUCUAUUUAUUGUUUGGGUUUGACCCAAAGAUAUUGUGUACAUACCUCCUAAGUAUGUGACGCUAUGAGUGCGUAGGUAAAAUUUCUCUAUGCUCAGUUUUGAUUUCAGUACAACUAUUUCUACGUUAUUACAUAUACGUAUUUGGACGUUAUGCUUUUAUAUGUCUAUUUUUUACCGAAUGUUUUUAUAAAAGUAUUAUAUUUUGGCAUUGUAAUGAAGGAGAAGGAAAGUUUGAGUUUAGAGGCAUGAAAGAGGAAUAACUGCACUCCCAUCGCGACGGAAUGACAUUCUCUUUUAUGCAACUGCUCUAACUUGAUAUCUUCUUUACAUAGCUGUUUUUCUACUGUCUUUUCACUAUUCUGGUAUAAUAAAUUAUUUCAAAUUUUGGGGACGAAAUUUUUUAAGGUGGGAAGAUUGUGACAAUCCAUCCCUAAAUAUACGUUUUUAUUUAUUUUAAUUGAGGGAAUUGACGAAAAUGUCCUAAAGGCAAGGACUUUGACUUCUGUUGACCAUCGUCUAGAGAAACGUAUGACUUAUUCUUUUAGCAUAUUUGAGUAGUACUCGUUGGUCCGAACGCAUAGGCGAAAGCCGUUUGCAAGUCUGGAUUAUAGCAGUAUAGUUAUGGACGUUCGAAGUUGGUUUUCCUUAUUUUUUUUUACCUUAACCCUUUAAUUAAAUGAAUUCCCACCAUGUGGGAAUUUGGCCCAAUCACAAAGGAAAGGUAGGGGAACCAAUUAGAAGGUGAGUUAGUGACCAAUCAAAUUAAAAGGUUAAGGGACCAAUUAGAAGAAGAGAGUGAAAUGGUUAUCUCUUUUUCAACCUGUGCAUACCAGGAACCCAAUUUCUAUAUGGCCAAAAUUCCAGCCAAUCUCCACCAUUUUUCAGUUGAAAUUCACACAUCCAUCACUUGAAACCUACUCCACCACCUCCCCUCUACCAUCUCCUCCCAAUUUGAGGGUUUUUAG
RNAcentral lists this long non-coding RNA (6279 nucleotides) under Malus domestica (apple). Its description in RNAcentral is "long non-coding RNA (MDOM_LNC010171)". Lineage: Eukaryota; Viridiplantae; Streptophyta; Magnoliopsida; Rosales; Rosaceae. The record is from RNAcentral.